GAAUUAGAACUUUUAACCUAGCCGCAUUCCAUUUUGAAUUCACGGCAUCAGUUUAUUUUUUGAGAGAGAGUGAGAGAGAGAGGCAGCCGAGAAAGAGCAUCGGGUAAAUUUUUGAGAAAGAGGAGAGCAUUCCAAACCGAAGGUAAAUUGGAAUGAUUUUUUUUUUUUUUUGCUUUGUUUUCUUGUUUGUCCAUGUUUGAAUGAGAAUCAUUUUUUUUGAACUUGAAGGAGAGCAUUCACGAUUUUUUCAACGUCCGAAGGCAUACACCAUGGCUUCUUCUUCAAAUCAAGUAAGUAUCCUAUUUCGUUGAUUUUAAAUUCGUGAAUUGGGUUCGUGAAUUAUUUUGGUGAAAUUGUUUAAUUCGAAUUACUUGUGUUCGUGAAUUGGGUUCGUGAAUUGGGUAGUUAUUUUGUUGUAGUCAUUUUGGUUGUAGUUAUUUUGUUGUAGUCAUUUUGUUUAAUUAUUGGGAUGGAAUUUACUUAUGUUGGGACGAAAAUAAUUAAUUAUUGGUUGUAUAUUCAUUUUGGUUGUAGUCAUUAUGUUUAAUUAUUUUGUUGGGACGAAAAUAAUUAAUUAUUUUCGUGAAUUACUUAUGUUAUUUUGUUGUAGUCAUUUUGGUUGAAUUAGUUAUGUUAUUUGUGAAUUAGUUUGUAUAUAAAUUGAUUUAGUUUAAUUUUAAAAUCAUUUCAAUAAUUUAAAUAAAAUACACAACCAAAGAAUUGAAUUGGGUAGUGCAUAAAUUGAAACUAACGAGAAGAUCCUCUACAUGUACAUAAUUAUUUUCGUGAAUUAUUAAUAAAUUGUUUAAUUCUAUU
This 816-nucleotide long non-coding RNA is filed under the name Salvia miltiorrhiza (redroot sage). Its description in RNAcentral is "long non-coding RNA (SMIL_LNC012405)". The record is from RNAcentral. Lineage: Eukaryota; Viridiplantae; Streptophyta; Magnoliopsida; Lamiales; Lamiaceae.